Molecule: long non-coding RNA, 1225 nt
Organism: Mytilus trossulus (common blue mussel)
Lineage: Eukaryota; Metazoa; Mollusca; Bivalvia; Mytilida; Mytilidae
Exons: 2
Source: RefSeq, a predicted model, not a curated record
UUUUUUUCAGGGGCAAAUAACUCUUGUGAUGCUCAUGAAUAUUAAUGAGUAACGUUGCGUCUCCAUAGUGACGACGCUGUCCGCUUCAGUUCUCUGGUCGUCAAUCGCUCUUGUAUUUUGAUCUUUUUAUUGAUAAACUAUGUAGAAUUAGAUAAAUAAUGAUAAUUUGUUGAAAAUAAAAAUUAUAUGUCACAUUAUUUUUCAAGCCAUAACUUGUAUUGUAUGAAAAUCCUACUUGUCGAUCUCGCAACGGAGGCGUGGCUUGUUUUCCUUAUUUGGAAAACCGAUUCAACAGGAAGCUUGAAAUCCACAUGUUUUGAACGGACGGAUUUUUUUUGUUGCAAGAGGCGAAUAAUGGCCCAUAUACCCAAGGAUUUCAGCUUACAAGCCGAAUUGUACGCCAUAACUUGACUAUGAGUUCAAGAUGACAAUGAUGAGAACAAAAAUGAAAGGAUACUUGCCUUACAUUUACAUUGCAAUACAUGACUGCAGGAUAUAUGAACAGAAAACAUGGACAACAAUGUGUAAUUCACAGCAACAUAACUUUUUGAAAUUGAGUAAAGAUAACUUUCCAACCAGAAGUUCCACAGUGUGAUCAUGGUGAUGUCAAACAGCAUGUUAAAAAUGAUUAAAAACAAUAUAGUAAGACUCAGCUUGAAGGUGAAAGGAGGACCCAGUUUUUGACACCCACUUUUUCUUGCCUGUUUUUUUCUGGACAGAAAGAAAACCCUCCAUUUAAAUAGAAUGCAGAAAGUGACUGUUAAAUUGUAAAAUUAACGGAACCUACAGAAUGACAGAUGGAAACAUGUGUAGAGAAAAAACCUCAUGUAAUCUAUAAAGUAAUUCAACAUCUUGUAGCAGCCUCGUAGAGAUCGUUCCACAGCAGUAAAGGAUGGUCAAAGGUGACCAGUUCUAAUUUCAACAUGAACACAGACAUGUCAGACAGAGAUUAAUCUCAACAAUUACAAUUUGAUUAAAAAGAAUGUGUGCACAUACAUUUUAUACAUGUACUUUGUACAGUGUUGUACCUGUAUAGUGGAAAAAUUACAUGUGCAAUUUAUUACGGACAGAAGACCAACAAAACAGGGCUAAAUGUUAUAGAUAACUGUAAAUUUACAUUAUGUUCAUAAGAACAGCAGUAUCAACAUUUGAACAGUAACAUCAUCCAUAAAUUUUUGUCAAGCAUGUAUAUCAAAACAUUAAUUUGAUUAAAUAUUUCUAUUCA